This is an RNA transcript of Physella acuta, 1876 nucleotides long. It is a transcript of the gene named putative methyltransferase NSUN7, with no coding region annotated. Lineage: Eukaryota; Metazoa; Mollusca; Gastropoda; Physidae. The record is from RefSeq and is a predicted model, not a curated record.
UCCAGACUCUCUUGCACGAUAUUCUGGAUCGGACAGGAUUUUUUUUCGAAAACUCAAAUCUCCGUGACGACCAAAGUCUAGUCUGCAUCAUCCUGUACGACCUCCAGAGCCGGAAGUUCCAGAGACGCACGGCUCUGCCCGGUGAAGAGCUGGACGGCCUGUGCGGCGAGAUCGAGGAGGCGCUGCUGAAUCUGAAGACCCGCAUCCUGUCGGUGAUCGCCAAGGAGCGGAUCAAGAACAAUGCCCCGUCCAUCGAGUACCUGCUGCCCGAGCACGUCAGGAACAAGGAUGAGACCAAGUGCAAAACGCCCGUCUAUUUGUGGGUCAACCAGUUCAAAACGAGCGUGGAGGAAAUUGUUGAAGCCCUUAAAAUGGACGGCUACUCGGUACUCGAACCCGGGCUGGACAUCACCGAAGAGACUGGGGAUGUUUUCAAAAUCGACGAACAUUGCUCGGAUCUCCUGGUCUUUCAACCUCACCUGCAGCUGAAGCUGAAGGAGUCGGACUACGUCAAGGCCGGUGCCUUGGUGCUGCAGGACAAGUCCAGCUGUCUGGCCCCACAGUCCGUACAUUACCUGCUGGGUCUGGAACAGGACGUCAUCCACGUCAACAUCGGCACAGGUAUGUCCACGGCACACCUGGCCAGCCUGCUGCGCAAGAAGUCCCCCCACAGCCACAUCUGGGGGUUCGCCAACGACAGCCCGGAGAAAGCCAGGAAAGCGCUCAAGAAUUUGGAGUUCUUGGGCGUCAAAAAUACGAAAGUACUGAUGGAUAAUUUUAUGGAUGUUGAUCCAGAGGAUACAAGGUUCAAAAACGUCAAGGUCAUUUUAAUCUCGACCAACUGCAGCAAAUCCGCCAUCACCAGCCCUGUCCAAUUUAUAGUCAGUGAAGGAGAAGAUAUGAAAGUUCUUGGAGAACUGUCUAAGGCCGACUCUAGUGCAACCCAUAUCGGCAACCUGAAGUUAGAACACGAACAACUGUUAAAACAAGCCCUCAAAUUUCCCAAAGUUCAGGCCGUUGUGUACACCACCCGCUCCCGCUACGAGGCUGAGAACGAGUCGGUGGUGACCAGGGUCUUGGAGUACAUCAAUAUGACGUCAGCCAACAAGAAGGCACCGUUCAGGGUUACCCCUCCAGUGUUACCUUUCUCUGGUGAUGAGAUUGACACGGGCGAGAGUGGAGUUGAUGGACGGUUUGUUCGAUUUUUGCCUUCAUCCAAAGCCAACGGCUGUUUUGUUGCUGUUAUAUCAAGGGAGCCCCAGGAUCCUAAGGAAGUGGCCAGGAACACGAUAGCCAAGGCCAGGUCAAAGGGCAUGCUGGGCAAAGGUCAAGGCGCGGAGGUGAACGGCGAAGGCGACGACACGAGCAAGUCGGAGGCUUCGCGGAAACACCACGGGAAAUCCUCGGCCUCGGAAGUGACCAGCCUCAAGGUCAAGGUCUCAAGUCACAAAUCUGCGGCCGCCAUCGGCGCCAGGCUGUACCAGGCCGGUCUCCUGUCUAAGAUGCAGCAGGUCAAGCUCAAGGCCCACAAGCCUGAGCAUGUCAAGGUCGUCAAGCACCCCGCCCCCUUCAGCGAACCAACUGAGAAUUAGGCGGCGGAUGGAAUGGUUUGGAUUUCUUGUCCACAAUUAGCUAGAACCUAGAGGUUGAAAUGGCAUAUCAUGAUACCAGUAUCCAGUUUGUUCAUUAGAGUACUGGCCCCUCUCUUACCCUGAGCCUCAGAAUGGAACGUUUAAAAAGUUGAUCCGACAUUUGCAAGUAUGUCGAUAUAAAUAUAAAAUGUAGAUCUAUAUCUGAACUGAUACAACUUGAAUUUUUAAACUUUUCGUAAAUUACAUUUUUAAAAUUCAACCUUCUCGUUGAAGAAAUAAAUUGU